RNAcentral lists this ribosomal RNA (478 nucleotides) under uncultured bacterium. RNAcentral describes it as "partial 16S ribosomal RNA". It matches the Rfam family "Bacterial small subunit ribosomal RNA", at positions 28 to 523 of the family's 1533-position model. The record is from RNAcentral.
GACGAACGCUGGCGGCGUGCUUAACACAUGCAAGUCGAACGGUAAGGCCCUUCGGGGUACACGAGUGGCGAACGGGUGAGUAACACGUGGGUGAUCUGCCCUGCACUUCGGGAUAAGCCUGGGAAACUGGGUCUAAUACCGGAUAGGACCCUGGGAUGCAUGUCCUGGGGUGGAAAGCUUUUGCGGUGUGGGAUGGGCCCGCGGCCUAUCAGCUUGUUGGUGGGGUGAUGGCCUACCAAGGCGACGACGGGUAGCCGGCCUGAGAGGGUGACCGGCCACAAUGGGACUGAGAUACGGCCCAGACUCCUACGGGGGGCAGCAGUGGGGAAUAUUGCACAAUGGGCGCAAGCCUGAUGCAGCGACGCCGCGGGAGGGAUGACGGCCUUCGGGUUGUAAACCUCUUUCAGCACCGACGAAGCGCAAGUGACGGUAGGUGCAGAAGAAGGACCGGCCAACUACGUGCCAGCAGCCGCCGUAA